CAUGAAGCUGGAAUCGCUAGUAAUCGCAGGUCAGCAUACUGCGGUGAAUACGUUCCCGGGUCUUGUACACACCGCCCGUCACACCAUGGGAGCCGGAGAUGCCCGAAGCCAGUGACCCAACCUUAGGGAGGGGAGCUGUCGAAGGUGGAGCCGGUAACUGGGGUGAAGUCGUAACAAGGUACC
RNAcentral lists this ribosomal RNA (183 nucleotides) under uncultured bacterium. RNAcentral describes it as "partial 16S ribosomal RNA". It matches the Rfam family "Bacterial small subunit ribosomal RNA", at positions 1319 to 1500 of the family's 1533-position model. The record is from RNAcentral.